Molecule: ribosomal RNA, 2929 nt
Filed under: Enterobacter cloacae
Lineage: Bacteria; Pseudomonadati; Pseudomonadota; Gammaproteobacteria; Enterobacterales; Enterobacteriaceae
Description: 23S ribosomal RNA
Rfam family: Bacterial large subunit ribosomal RNA
Source: RNAcentral
GGGUUGUGAGGUUAAGCGACUAAGCGUACACGGUGGAUGCCCUGGCAGUCAGAGGCGAUGAAGGACGUGCUAAUCUGCGAAAAGCGCCGGCGAGGUGAUAUGAACCCUUGACCCGGCGAUGUCCGAAUGGGGAAACCCAGUGUGAUUCGUCACACUAUCGUUAACUGAAUACAUAGGUUAACGAGGCGAACCGGGGGAACUGAAACAUCUAAGUACCCCGAGGAAAAGAAAUCAACCGAGAUUCCCCCAGUAGCGGCGAGCGAACGGGGAGCAGCCCAGAGUCUGAAUCAGCUUGUGUGUUAGUGGAAGCGUCUGGAAAGUCGCACGGUACAGGGUGACAGUCCCGUACACGAAAAUGCACAGGCUGUGAACUCGAAGAGUAGGGCGGGACACGUGGUAUCCUGUCUGAAUAUGGGGGGACCAUCCUCCAAGGCUAAAUACUCCUGACUGACCGAUAGUGAACCAGUACCGUGAGGGAAAGGCGAAAAGAACCCCGGCGAGGGGAGUGAAAAAGAACCUGAAACCGUGUACGUACAAGCAGUGGGAGCACCUUCGGGUGUGACUGCGUACCUUUUGUAUAAUGGGUCAGCGACUUAUAUUCUGUAGCAAGGUUAACCGUAUAGGGGAGCCGAAGGGAAACCGAGUCUUAACUGGGCGUUAAGUUGCAGGGUAUAGACCCGAAACCCGGUGAUCUAGCCAUGGGCAGGUUGAAGGUUGGGUAACACUAACUGGAGGACCGAACCGACUAAUGUUGAAAAAUUAGCGGAUGACUUGUGGCUGGGGGUGAAAGGCCAAUCAAACCGGGAGAUAGCUGGUUCUCCCCGAAAGCUAUUUAGGUAGCGCCUCGUGAACUCAUCUUCGGGGGUAGAGCACUGUUUCGGCUAGGGGGCCAUCCCGGCUUACCAACCCGAUGCAAACUACGAAUACCGAAGAAUGUUAUCACGGGAGACACACGGCGGGUGCUAACGUCCGUCGUGAAGAGGGAAACAACCCAGACCGCCAGCUAAGGUCCCAAAGUCAUGGUUAAGUGGGAAACGAUGUGGGAAGGCCCAGACAGCCAGGAUGUUGGCUUAGAAGCAGCCAUCAUUUAAAGAAAGCGUAAUAGCUCACUGGUCGAGUCGGCCUGCGCGGAAGAUGUAACGGGGCUAAACCAUGCACCGAAGCUGCGGCAGCGACACUAUGUGUUGUUGGGUAGGGGAGCGUUCUGUAAGCCGUUGAAGGUGGCCUGUGAGGGUUGCUGGAGGUAUCAGAAGUGCGAAUGCUGACAUAAGUAACGAUAAAGCGGGUGAAAAGCCCGCUCGCCGGAAGACCAAGGGUUCCUGUCCAACGUUAAUCGGGGCAGGGUGAGUCGACCCCUAAGGCGAGGCCGAAAGGCGUAGUCGAUGGGAAACAGGUUAAUAUUCCUGUACUUGGUGUUACUGCGAAGGGGGGACGGAGAAGGCUAUGUUAGCCGGGCGACGGUUGUCCCGGUUUAAGCAUGUAGGCGGAGGUUCCAGGUAAAUCCGGUACCUUUUAACGCUGAGGUGUGAUGACGAGGCACUACGGUGCUGAAGUAACAAAUGCCCUGCUUCCAGGAAAAGCCUCUAAGCAUCAGGUAACACGAAAUCGUACCCCAAACCGACACAGGUGGUCAGGUAGAGAAUACCAAGGCGCUUGAGAGAACUCGGGUGAAGGAACUAGGCAAAAUGGUGCCGUAACUUCGGGAGAAGGCACGCUGAUAUGUAGGUGAAGCCCCUGCGGGUGGAGCUGAAAUCAGUCGAAGAUACCAGCUGGCUGCAACUGUUUAUUAAAAACACAGCACUGUGCAAACACGAAAGUGGACGUAUACGGUGUGACGCCUGCCCGGUGCCGGAAGGUUAAUUGAUGGGGUUAGCGGCAACGCGAAGCUCUUGAUCGAAGCCCCGGUAAACGGCGGCCGUAACUAUAACGGUCCUAAGGUAGCGAAAUUCCUUGUCGGGUAAGUUCCGACCUGCACGAAUGGCGUAAUGAUGGCCAGGCUGUCUCCACCCGAGACUCAGUGAAAUUGAACUCGCUGUGAAGAUGCAGUGUACCCGCGGCAAGACGGAAAGACCCCGUGAACCUUUACUAUAGCUUGACACUGAACACUGGUCCUUGAUGUGUAGGAUAGGUGGGAGGCUUUGAAGCGUGGACGCCAGUCUGCGUGGAGCCAACCUUGAAAUACCACCCUUUAAUGGCUGGUGUUCUAACGUAGACCCGUAAUCCGGGUUGCGGACAGUGUCUGGUGGGUAGUUUGACUGGGGCGGUCUCCUCCCAAAGAGUAACGGAGGAGCACGAAGGUUAGCUAAUCCUGGUCGGACAUCAGGAGGUUAGUGCAAUGGCAUAAGCUAGCUUGACUGCGAGAGUGACGGCUCGAGCAGGUGCGAAAGCAGGUCAUAGUGAUCCGGUGGUUCUGAAUGGAAGGGCCAUCGCUCAACGGAUAAAAGGUACUCCGGGGAUAACAGGCUGAUACCGCCCAAGAGUUCAUAUCGACGGCGGUGUUUGGCACCUCGAUGUCGGCUCAUCACAUCCUGGGGCUGAAGUAGGUCCCAAGGGUAUGGCUGUUCGCCAUUUAAAGUGGUACGCGAGCUGGGUUUAGAACGUCGUGAGACAGUUCGGUCCCUAUCUGCCGUGGGCGCUGGAGAAUUGAGGGGGGCUGCUCCUAGUACGAGAGGACCGGAGUGGACGCAUCACUGGUGUUCGGGUUGUCAUGCCAAUGGCACUGCCCGGUAGCUAAAUGCGGAAGAGAUAAGUGCUGAAAGCAUCUAAGCACGAAACUUGCCCCGAGAUGAGUUCUCCCUGACCCUUUAAGGGUCCUGAAGGAACGUUGAAGACGACGACGUUGAUAGGUCGGGUGUGUAAGCGCAGCGAUGCGUUGAGCUAACCGAUACUAAUGAACCGUGAGGCUUAACCUUACAACGCCGAAGCUGUU